GGCCCUUGACGGUCGGAGUGGUCUCUGACGCUGGGCUUCAAACCCAGUUAUCCUGCGGAGGGAUAGGGGUUCGAUUCCCCUCGAGGGCCGCCA
This 93-nucleotide transfer RNA is filed under the name Promethearchaeota archaeon. RNAcentral describes it as "tRNA-Sec". It matches the Rfam family "Selenocysteine transfer RNA". Lineage: Archaea; Promethearchaeati; Promethearchaeota. RNAcentral also lists the same sequence under 4 other names. The record is from RNAcentral.